This 1078-nucleotide ribosomal RNA is filed under the name Staphylococcus aureus. RNAcentral's name for it is "partial 23S ribosomal RNA". It matches the Rfam family "Bacterial large subunit ribosomal RNA", at positions 745 to 1823 of the family's 2925-position model. Lineage: Bacteria; Bacillati; Bacillota; Bacilli; Caryophanales; Staphylococcaceae. The record is from RNAcentral.
UUGAAGUUCAGGUAACACUGAAUGGAGGACCGAACCGACUUACGUUGAAAAGUGAGCGGAUGAACUGAGGGUAGCGGAGAAAUUCCAAUCGAACCUGGAGAUAGCUGGUUCUCUCCGAAAUAGCUUUAGGGCUAGCCUCAAGUGAUGAUUAUUGGAGGUAGAGCACUGUUUGGACGAGGGGCCCCUCUCGGGUUACCGAAUUCAGACAAACUCCGAAUGCCAAUUAAUUUAACUUGGGAGUCAGAACAUGGGUGAUAAGGUCCGUGUUCGAAAGGGAAACAGCCCAGACCACCAGCUAAGGUCCCAAAAUAUAUGUUAAGUGGAAAAGGAUGUGGCGUUGCCCAGACAACUAGGAUGUUGGCUUAGAAGCAGCCAUCAUUUAAAGAGUGCGUAAUAGCUCACUAGUCGAGUGACACUGCGCCGAAAAUGUACCGGGGCUAAACAUAUUACCGAAGCUGUGGAUUGUCCUUUGGACAAUGGUAGGAGAGCGUUCUAAGGGCGUUGAAGCAUGAUCGUAAGGACAUGUGGAGCGCUUAGAAGUGAGAAUGCCGGUGUGAGUAGCGAAAGACGGGUGAGAAUCCCGUCCACCGAUUGACUAAGGUUUCCAGAGGAAGGCUCGUCCGCUCUGGGUUAGUCGGGUCCUAAGCUGAGGCCGACAGGCGUAGGCGAUGGAUAACAGGUUGAUAUUCCUGUACCACCUAUAAUCGUUUUAAUCGAUGGGGGGACGCAGUAGGAUAGGCGAAGCGUGCGAUUGGAUUGCACGUCUAAGCAGUAAGGCUGAGUAUUAGGCAAAUCCGGUACUCGUUAAGGCUGAGCUGUGAUGGGGAGAAGACAUUGUGUCUUCGAGUCGUUGAUUUCACACUGCCGAGAAAAGCCUCUAGAUAGAAAAUAGGUGCCCGUACCGCAAACCGACACAGGUAGUCAAGAUGAGAAUUCUAAGGUGAGCGAGCGAACUCUCGUUAAGGAACUCGGCAAAAUGACCCCGUAACUUCGGGAGAAGGGGUGCUCUUUAGGGUUAACGCCCAGAAGAGCCGCAGUGAAUAGGCCCAAGCGACUGUUUAUCAAAAACACAGGUCUC